GACGUAGGGGUGCGUACUUCCCUCAGUGGGGAGACCCUGCUGCCGCUGUUGUUGACCAAGUCGCCGUGGCCGAAGCGCGGUGGCCGAAGCAGGGGACGGGGGUGGGACUUACAGGGACAGAAGGCGUAGCUUCCAGUAGCUUCUGGCCCUUCUGGGUCCGGAGUGGCCUUGCCGCCCUCACCUGCGCAGAGCCGGGAGCCGACGCGUCACCCCCAACGGAAGCGCCGCGCUGCCAGGGCGUCUGGCGAGGUGCGCCCUCCGCGUCCCAGCUCCAGCGCUUCGCAGCAGUCGCCCACCUCUUUCUGCCAAGCAGGGCGGGGACGGGGCGGCAUCUCCGAGAUCUGCGAUUCGAACCGCCGAGGAGCAGAAGACCACAGCUCACCUCGGACGGUGCCCUAGGGCCACCACACAGAGGGUCGGGCAGUGCCAGAGGGAGGUUGCAAGCGCCGCCGCCAACUCGACAGCGCGUCCCAGGAAAAACUGAGGAAACGCGCCUGGUUCCAGGGGUCGGCGGGGACCGCGGAGACUGCUAGCAUCCUCAACAGCUUGGAAAUCCCAUCGCCUUGGUUCCCUGAGACUUGGAGGAGAACUGACAGCUGGCUGACAGAAAACUCAUCCAGGGAGAGAAGAGACAAAAGUGAAGUAUGAAAUUUUGAAUAAUGUUUUCAGGUAACUUUCUAUUUCCAUCUAGAGUGGGUGUCUGGAAGGGUGAAUGCAGUUAUGGUUUGAAUUGCUUUCAUGUAUCAACAGAUAUUUUUAAUAGGGCUCAUCUUUCCAAGAUGCAAUGUGCCUUACUUUCUUUUCCUGGCUUCCAGUCCCCUUGUAGCAGGGCAGGGAGCUGAGGAAUUCAUCCUUUGGCCUGCACAUGCUCACUGAACCCCUGUUUUCAGCAAGCUGCCUCUAAGUUUGAAGACUUUCUGAUCAAUUUAGAAAAUAAAUCUUUGUUUUCUUGCCUAGGAAAGUGAUUGUCUGCUACUUGGGCUGGGAUAAAAUACAUGGGGAUCCAGGAGUUCUGUCCACAGACUUUCAACCAUCUUCUUGUUCUAAGCCCUGUUACUCAUUGCCAUUUUCUAUGGCACUUGGAACCUCUAAGUCCUAAAUGUCACAGGUCCUGUGGGUAAGCAGCCUCCCUGGGUCUGUGUCCUGCAGCCUCCUCUGCCAUGCUAAGGCCAUUUGCCACUCCACCAUUCCCCCAUUUCCAGAGCCUGUUUGAAAUUGCUUAUCUAAUGGUAUCUCUCCUCCAAUUUUCUUUGUUUUUUUUUUUUUUUUUUUGAGACGGAGUCUCGCUCUGUCACCCAGGCUGGAGUGCAGUGGCCGGAUUUCAGCUCACUGCAAGCUCUGCCUCCUGGGUUCACGCCAUUCUCCUGCCUCAGCCUCCCGAGUAGCUGGGACUACAGGCGCCCGCUACCUUGCCCGGCUAGUUUUUUGUAUUUUUUAGUAGAGACGGGGUUUCACCGUGUUAGCCAGGAUGGUCUCGAUCUCCUGACCUUGUGAUCCGCCUGUCUCGGCCUCCCAAAGUACUGGGAUUACAGGCUUGAGCCACCGCGCCCGGCCCCUUCUUUGUUCUUAAAAAUAUACAUAUUUAAAAUAUUUUUAAAAAAUAACUCAAUGCUUAUAAUUUUGGUGGCAUCUUGGGCAUAGAGGGAGGAACUAAAGGAGCAUUGUAAAUAUGCCAUCAUGAGGUGCAAGUGAUAUUAAAGACACUGUAAUUUUUGAAUGAAAAGCAGUUUAUCCAUCGGUUUAAUAAUUAAUAUCUUGUAAUAAUGUCAAAAUGAUACUAUUUGGAAAUUGUAAGGAAAGUACACUUAAAGGAUAUGCUCUUUCCAUGUUUUGCUUAUUAGAUUCUACUGAUGUUUACAGAAUGAGAAGAAGCAUUGUAUCUUAGAAAUAUGAGAUCCUUAAAAAAACAACAUUUCCAAUAUUUUAUCUGUUAUUUUAAAUAGGUUGUGGAUUGGAGACAUGAUAAACUUUUCAAAAAGCUAAUUCUGAGAUAAACAUUUUAAAAAGAAGAAUGCAGUGAGUAUGAAGACAAAACAAGAAAGUCUUUCUCUAGACAUUGUCUGAUUUCAUUACCACAUCCCCAUGGAAUGCAUAUUCCAUGAUUGUCAUUCCAUGCGUGAGGAACUCAAGACUCCUAGAGGCUGAGAGACUUGAUCAGGGCACAUAGCCAAUAAGUGUGGGAGUCACGAUUGACCCCUGUCAGAUGCCUGAACUUUCUGCAGUUGAACUAUUAUCUAUAUAGAAGGUGCCACUGAAUUUGGGGAUUGCUUAUAGUCUAGACAUAACAAAGGGAUUGACUGGAUGUUAGUAUGCUCUCAGCACUCAGUGUCCAAUCAGGAUGCUUCCAGGAGGAAAGAACGUUCUAGGCAACAGAAGUGGUCCUCAUCAAAAGUUGAGUUGGACUCUGUGAAAAGGAAAUAAGUCAGACAUAAAUAUCAGUGUUUUUGAUGCACAAAUGGAGAAAACAAGAUAAAAGAACCCCCAGAAAAGGAUGAAGGGCUAAAGAGAAGGGGGUUCUUCCAUUCAGGUACUGAUUACAGAAAGAACCAGAACAUUUGGAGAAUAAAGUAUCUGGCACCUUUUUUCCCUGACAAGUUUAAUGUUUAGACAAUUUCAAAAGUUAUCUACUAAAUGUUAAGAAGUGAGCAAACAGGCUGGGCGCGGUGGCGCACGCCUGUAAUCCCAGCACUUUGGGAGGCUGAGGUGAGCAGAUCUCCUGAGGUCGGGAGUUCGAGAUUAACCUAACCAAUAUGAAGAAACCCCAUCUCUACUAAAAAUACAAAAUUAGCAGGGUAUGGUGGCGCACGCCUGUAAUCUCAGCUACUCAGGAUGCUGAGGCAGGAGAAUCACUUGAAGCCAGGAGGCGGAGAUUGCAGUGAGCCGAGAUGGCGCCAUUGCACUCCAGCCUGGGCAACAAGAGCGAAAUUCCAUCUCAAAAAAAAAGAAGUGAGCAAACAAAGUGGCUUUAAAAAUCUUUAGAAUGAGGAAAGAGUCAACCUCAUGAGGUUGGUGUUGCUGGACACUCCCCGAGUCCUCAGAGGAGAGGGUCUGCCUAUGUCCACACUGCAGGUGGAUUAGGCAGCAAGUUGGUGCCACUGCUCAACUUCUCUGAGACCCUGAAGCCCACAGCACCCUUUUUCCACAAGACUGUGAUGGGGCCACUGUCCUCCUUAGGCAUGGUAGUUGCCAGCAUAGUAGCAGCUCCUCUUCUUCUCCCAGAACCUCCUGACACCAACCUUGGUGAAAGAAAAGCUGUGACAGCAAGCGGUCAGGUUUAGUGUUGUGGAGAAAGGCCUUUACUUGAGGAUGGCUGAAAAGUAGAAAGCCUUGGCUGGCCAUGGUGGCUUAUGCCUGUAACCCCAACACUUUGGGAGGCUGAGGCAGGAGGAUUGUUUGAGGCUGGGAGUUCAAGACCAGUCUGGGCAAUAUAGCAAGACCCUGUGCCAAAAAAAUAAAAUAAAAUAAGUAUUAAAAAAAAAGUAAGUAAAAUAUCUUCCCCCAAAGAUUCUGCUAAGACUUUAAAAAAUAAAAACAAGAUUGACCUAAAUACUAGAAACUAUACGAGAAUAUAAUAUUGACAUCUGGUAUCUGACAACUUGUUCUCGUUUGAAUAUCUGUUUCUCAAAUGCUACUUUUUGUCAAAUAAUUUUUUAAAUGACUGAUACUGUAUAGCAAUUGAAUUGCAAUUACUAAGUAGUUUCUAUAUUUGAUAUUACAUUCCAGCUCAUUUCUCUACAUUUCUAUGCUCUAUUAAGCCCAUUUAUAUAUGAAAAAUGCUUUAAAAAUGAUCCUUUUGUGAUCACUGUCUCAUGUGAGCUCUUUUCAGAUGCUUUGCAUUCAGAAUAGACCUCUGAGUUGGGACCGAAGCAGUCAACUGAUCCCAAAUUCCUAAGUUCCUGACUUGCAGGUAUGUGUGGCUCCAAGAUAGCCUUUAUAGAGUAUGUCACGGGGAACAUAAAAUGAAAGCAUUCACUCUCAUUGUAUUUAUGUAUGUACAGAUUGAGUAGUUCUUUGCUUUGCACCAUGAAUGAUACUGAAGUGGAGAUGAAUUCUAUGUCCUUUUGAAUACUGCCUUUCAGGAGCUUAGUCAGUUGAAACUCCAGUUGAAAGUCAAGGCACAAAUGUCAUCGAUAAUGUCAUGAGAACUGAAUUACUCUUUUAAAAGGAAGACCUAAUAGGACUCUUUGUAAAUUUUAAUAAUGAAGUAUAUCUUACAUAUAUGCUAUGCUCUUUUCUGCACACACAUUCUAUUUCACAAUAAGUAAAUAAGAGUGAUAUACAGAAGAGUAUGUGAAAUGUGUACUUUUAAAGAAGAAGAAUAGAAUGGACACCCACCUAUGCAUCACCCAGACUGGGAAAUAGAACAUCACCUGAACCUUUGGGCCUCUCUGUGUCCCUCCCAAAAGGCAUUAUUCUCCUAAUCUCUACCAAGGAGUAGCUUUCUGUUGACUUUUGUAUUAAUCAUUCCCUUUGCUUUAAAAAAAAAAUUUUCAGGUGCCCCUUAUAGUUGAUCCCUAAGUAAAAUAAUUGUUUAUUUUUAAAAAACUUAGUAGCAGGUACAAAAUUAGG
RNAcentral lists this long non-coding RNA (4569 nucleotides) under Macaca nemestrina (pig-tailed macaque). Its description in RNAcentral is "lncRNA (ENSMNEG00000045804.1)". The record is from RNAcentral. Lineage: Eukaryota; Metazoa; Chordata; Mammalia; Primates; Cercopithecidae.